RNAcentral lists this ribosomal RNA (305 nucleotides) under uncultured bacterium. RNAcentral describes it as "bacterial SSU rRNA". It matches the Rfam family "Bacterial small subunit ribosomal RNA", at positions 333 to 653 of the family's 1533-position model. The record is from RNAcentral.
ACGCUCCUACGGGAGGCAGCAGUGGGGGAUAUUGGGCAAUGGGCGCAAGCCUGACCCAGCAACGUCGCGUGAAGGAAGAAGGCUUUCGGGUUGUAAACUUCUUUUCUCAGGGACGAAGAAAGUGACGGUACCUGAGGAAUAAGCCACGGCUAACUACGUGCCAGCAGCCGCGGUAAUACGUAGGUGGCAAGCGUUAUCCGGAUUUACUGGGUGUAAAGGGCGUGUAGGCGGGAAAGCAAGUCAGAUGUGAAACCAUGGGCUCAACCUGUGGCCUGCAUUUGAAACUGUUUUUCUUGAGUACUGGG